CCUACGGGCGGCAGCAGUGGGGAAUAUUGCACAAUGGGCGAAACCCUGAUGCAGCGACGCCGCGUGAAGGAAGAAGUAUUUCGGUAUGUAAACUUCUAUCAGCAGGGAAGAAAAUGACGGUACCUGACUAAGAAGCCCCGGCUAACUACGUGCCAGCAGCCGCGGUAAUACGUAGGGGGCAAGCGUUAUCCGGAUUUACUGGGUGUAAAGGGAGCGUAGGCGGUUUAGCAAGUCAGAAGUGAAAGCCCGGGGCUCAACUCCGGGACUGCUUUUGAAACUGGUGAACUAGAGUGCAGGAGAGGUAAGUGGAAUUCGUCGUGUAGCGGUGAAAUGCGUAGAUAUUAGGAGGAACACCAGUGGCGAAGGCGGCUUACUGGACUGUAAAUGACGCUGAGGCUCGAAAGCGUGGGGAGCAAACAGGAUUAGAUACCCGUGUAGUC
RNAcentral lists this ribosomal RNA (440 nucleotides) under uncultured bacterium. RNAcentral's name for it is "partial 16S ribosomal RNA". It matches the Rfam family "Bacterial small subunit ribosomal RNA", at positions 338 to 795 of the family's 1533-position model. The record is from RNAcentral.